UUAAUUAAUAUAAUGAAAGGAAUUAAGACAAAUCAUAAUGACCCUUAUAAUAUGGGCUAUAGACGUGCUAUAAUAAAAUAAUAAAUAAAGUUAAAUAAUAUAUUAAUAAAUAAUAUAUAAUAAAUAACAUAAAAUAUUUUAAUAUUUAAUAUAUUUUUAUAUUAUAUAUAAUAUGAAUUAUUAACUGUAAUUUGUUAAUAUGAAAUAAGAAUUGUUAGUAAUACGUAAAUUAGUAUGUUACGGU
This 244-nucleotide ribosomal RNA is filed under the name Naumovozyma dairenensis. RNAcentral's name for it is "partial small subunit ribosomal RNA". Lineage: Eukaryota; Fungi; Ascomycota; Saccharomycetes; Saccharomycetales; Saccharomycetaceae. The record is from RNAcentral.